This is a long non-coding RNA of Anopheles arabiensis, 855 nucleotides long. RefSeq lists it as uncharacterized. The transcript is spliced from 2 exons. The record is from RefSeq and is a predicted model, not a curated record. NCBI's taxonomy places the organism in Eukaryota, Metazoa, Arthropoda, Insecta, Diptera, Culicidae.
AGCAAAAAACAUCCAAGCUACCGCUGGAAAGUAGCCUUUACUGAUCAGCCUUUACUAGAAUUUUAUAAUAGAGAUAUAAUAGAGAUAGAGGUUCUUGUAGCAAUCUACGAUUCAAUCCAGUUUUCAUUUAACAUAAAUUCUUCAACUCGAAAUUACCGUAACAUAAAUCUUUAACACCGUAAGUGUUUACGAUGGAUCGAAAAUUUGAAACAACAUAUAGCCAAGACUACACUCACCGAUUAGAAAAUCGACAAUUAGCAUUGAACCAUAAGAUAGAUGCAAACCUUCUGGGCAGUUGCUUUUCACCACCUGUCGAAUGCACGGUGCCGGUGUUUUCUAUGGAUAAUCGUGCCGGAGAAUCUCCAUUGAAAUCGAGCUACCAACUGGAUUACGACCGGCUGCCAGAGCGAACAUCUUGUGUAAUCAAUAAUGCUGUUGAAUCGAGUCGUUGGCCUGAUUCUAGAUACUUCCAACGAGAGUUCAAAGGGCUUCCGUGCAACGGUGCAUCCUGUCAAUCUAGUACGCGAGGCCCUCAUCAAAUUUGCUCACAUGAGCCAGAAGAAGAAACUAAAAAGAAAUCUCAAUUUGGAUGUGUGUAUACCAUAUCGAAUAUACCCAAAAGUUAUAUUAUAUCAAGUCAUUGGCCUGAUCAGGAUUGGCAACGUAGUACACCAAAUAGGACGGAGUAUCGUGAUAAGGUGGAACGACUUGGAAGAACUUUGCAACGUGAAAACAUUCACGAUCAUAGUUGCUGCACAUCUGUCCGAAAUUGUCAUCACCAUUUCUUUUUAUAAAUUAAUGAAUCAAUACCUACGUGCCCAUACGCAAUAAUAAAUCACACGUAUAAAUAUCUGA